GGCGCUAUGGCGAAAUGGACUACCGCGUCGGUUUCCGGAGCCGAAGAUUAUGGGUUCGAGUCCCAUUAGCGUCG
RNAcentral lists this transfer RNA (74 nucleotides) under Rhizomucor miehei CAU432. RNAcentral's name for it is "tRNA-Arg (CCG) (tRNA-Arg-CCG-1-1)". It matches the Rfam family "tRNA". From Rfam's summary of the family: Transfer RNA (tRNA) molecules are approximately 80 nucleotides in length. Their secondary structure includes four short double-helical elements and three loops (D, anti-codon, and T loops). Lineage: Eukaryota; Fungi; Mucoromycota; Mucoromycetes; Mucorales; Lichtheimiaceae. The record is from RNAcentral.